Molecule: ribosomal RNA, 274 nt
Filed under: uncultured bacterium
Lineage: Bacteria
Description: partial 16S ribosomal RNA
Rfam family: Bacterial small subunit ribosomal RNA
Source: RNAcentral
CUACGGAGGGUGCGAGCGUUAAUCGGAAUUACUGGGCGUAAAGCGCGCGUAGGCGGCUUUGUAAGUCGGAUGUGAAAGCCCCGGGCUUAACCUGGGAAUGGCAUUCGAUACUGCAGAGCUAGAGUAUGGUAGAGGGAAGUGGAAUUUCCGGUGUAGCGGUGAAAUGCGUAGAUAUCGGAAGGAACACCAGUGGCGAAGGCGACUUCCUGGGCCAAUACUGACGCUGAGGUGCGAAAGCGUGGGGAGCAAACAGGAUUAGAAACCCCGGUAGUCC